AGUGAACGCUGGCGGUAGGCCUAACACAUGCCAGUCGAACGGCAGCACAGUAAGAGCUUGCUCUUACGGGUGGCGAGUGGCGGACGGGUGAGGAAUACAUCGGAAUCUACUUUUUCGUGGGGGAUAACGUAGGGAAACUUACGCUAAUACCGCAUACGACCUACGGGUGAAAGCAGGGGAUCUUCGGACCUUGCGCGAUUGAAUGAGCCGAUGUCGGAUUAGCUAGUUGGCGGGGUAACGGCCCACCAAGGCGACGAUCCGUAGCUGGUCUGAGAGGAUGAUCAGCCACACUGGAACUGAGACACGGUCCAGACUCCUACGGGAGGCAGCAGUGGGGAAUAUUGGACAAUGGGCGCAAGCCUGAUCCAGCAAUACCGCGUGGGUGAAGAAGGCCUUCGGGUUGUAAAGCCCUUUUGUUGGGAAAGAAAAGCAGCAGGUUAAUACCCCGCUGUUCUGACGGUACCCAAAGAAUAAGCACCGGCUAACUUCGUG
This 492-nucleotide ribosomal RNA is filed under the name uncultured bacterium. Its description in RNAcentral is "partial 16S ribosomal RNA". It matches the Rfam family "Bacterial small subunit ribosomal RNA", at positions 29 to 507 of the family's 1533-position model. The record is from RNAcentral.